This 279-nucleotide unclassified non-coding RNA is filed under the name plant metagenome. RNAcentral's name for it is "partial contains small subunit ribosomal RNA, internal transcribed spacer 1, and 5.8S ribosomal RNA". The record is from RNAcentral.
UCUCCGUUGGUGAACCAGCGGAGGGAUCAUUACCGAGUUUACAACUCCCAAACCCCAUGUGAACCAUACCACACGUUGCUUCGGCGGGAAGCCCCGGACGCGGGCGGCAAGGCCUGGGCUCCGAAACCAGGGGACCGCCGGAGGCCCAAAUCAAAAUCUUGUUUUUGUAAAAUCUUAUGAGUGGCCUUUUAGGCUAAAAAUGAAUAAAAAAUUUCAACAAAGGAGCACUUGGUUCUGGUAACGAUGAAGAACGCAGCAGAUCGGAAGAGCCCGAGUUCG